This 77-nucleotide transfer RNA is filed under the name Candidatus Ornithoclostridium excrementipullorum. Its description in RNAcentral is "tRNA-Pro". It matches the Rfam family "tRNA". Rfam says of the family: Transfer RNA (tRNA) molecules are approximately 80 nucleotides in length. The record is from RNAcentral. Lineage: Bacteria; Bacillati; Bacillota; Clostridia; Christensenellales; Christensenellaceae. RNAcentral also lists the same sequence under 1 other name.
CGGGGUGUGGCGCAGUUUGGUAGCGCGCUUGAAUGGGGUUCAAGAGGCCGCUAGUUCGAAUCUAGUCACUCCGACCA